CUGACCCCAGAAGUGUUGCAAGUGUGGCUGCUGUGUCACCUAUGCAUCAGUAGGUGGCAGAGGGGAGAGAGGCUAUGUCUAUGCUCAAUGUUCUGACCUAUGAACACU
RNAcentral lists this small nucleolar RNA (108 nucleotides) under Mus caroli (Ryukyu mouse). RNAcentral describes it as "snoRNA (MGP_CAROLIEiJ_G0035908.1)". It matches the Rfam family "Small nucleolar RNA SNORA17", at positions 2 to 109 of the family's 132-position model. From Rfam's summary of the family: snoRNA ACA 17 belongs to the H/ACA family of snoRNAs and is predicted to guide pseudouridylation of the 28S rRNA at positions U4659 and U4598. The record is from RNAcentral. Lineage: Eukaryota; Metazoa; Chordata; Mammalia; Rodentia; Muridae.